AUGGCUCCUACUCUUUCACUUCUGCUUGCCACCACUUCCAUGGCUCUGCUCUUAUUUUCAAGAGCUGUAGCACAUGACACUCUGCCGUUGGGAUCCUCUCUAGCCGUCGAAGCCUUCCAAACCGACGUGCUGCAGUCACCGGAUGGCACCUUCUCCUGCGGCUUCUACAGCAUCUACACCGACGCCUUCACAUUUUCGAUAUGGCACUCCAAGGCUGCAGACAAAACCGUCGUCUGGAGUGCAAAUCGCGGCCGCCCUGUCCAUGUCAAAAGGGCAGCCUUCACCUUGCAGAGGGAUGGCAAUAUGGUCCUCGUAGAUUAUGAUGGCGCGGUUGUGUGGCAAGCUGGCGGCAACUUCACGAAUGUUCAGCAAGCUCAGCUGUUGGAUACUGGGAAUCUCAUCUUGAAGGAUACCGAUGGUAAGACAAUAUGGCAGAGUUUUGAUUCACCCACGGACACUAUACUGCCGACGCAACACUUCACCGCUUCUACAAAGUUAGUGCCUACAACCCGGUCACAUGUUUCUGGUAACUACAUAUUCCGUUUCAGCGAUCUUUCGGUACUGUCACUUAUAUAUGACAUUCCUGAGGUUUCGGAUAUAUACUGGCCAGACCCUGACCAGACUCUCUAUGAGGAUAAUAGAAACCAGUAUAACAAUACUAGAUUGGGGAUUUUGGACAGUAAUGGGAGUUUUGGGUCGAGUGAUUUUGCUGAUGGCCGGCCACUUGUGGCCUGUGAUGCAGGGCCAGGGAUUAAGAGAAGGCUAACUCUGGAUCCUGAUGGUAAUCUCCGGUUAUAUAGCUUGAAUGACUUAGAUGGGUCAUGGUCAGUUUCAAUGGCAGCAAUAUCUCAACCUUGCAACGUCCACGGCUUAUGCGGUCCUAAUGGAAUCUGUCACUACUCACCUAAACCUACAUGUUCGUGUGCACCAGGCUAUGUGAUGAGCAACCCGGGUAAUUGGACUGAAGGUUGCACGGCUAUUGUCAACAUAACAUGUGAUCAUCAGGAACCUAUGAAGUUUGUGAAACUCAAGCAUACAGAUUUUUGGGGCUCUGAUCAGAAACAUUUGCUCCCGGUUUCCUUUUAUUAUUGUAGGAAUAUCUGCAUGAAUGACUGCACCUGCAAAGGCUUUCAGUACCAGGAAGAUACAUCCUCAUGCUAUCCAAAAGCUAGUCUUUUCAGCGGACGGACCUACCCAACAAACGAUGCACGGACAAUAUAUCUCAAGCUUCCUGACAGGGUAAAUGUUUCAAAUACAGCUUUCCCUCGCUCCGAUGUGUUUGAUCCUGCACCACCUCAUCUUGACUGCAACCAAAUGAGCAUACCACCAAUUCUAGAAGCGCAUAACACCGAUGUGGAAGAACCAAAGUGGCUGUACUUCUACGGUUUCAUAGCUGCAUUUUUUGUCGUUGAGGUUUCCUUUAUAGCAUUCACAUGGUUCUUUGUUUUGAGAAGAGAGGUUAGGCCAUCAGAAGUAUGGGCGACCGAGGAAGGAUACAAGGUGAUGACCAGUCAUUUUAGAAGGUACAGUUACAGAGAACUUGUGAAGGCAACAAUGAAUUUCAAAGUUGAGCUGGGAAGGGGAAGCUCGGGUGUGGUGUACAAAGGUGUCUUAGAAGAUGAAAGACCAGUUGCUCUGAAGAAGCUGAAGCAUAUAAGUCGGGGCAAAGAAGAGUUCCAAGCCGAGCUGAGUGUGAUUGCUAGGAUUUACCACAUGAAUCUGGUGAGAAUAUGGGGGUUUUGUUCGGAAGGAUCUCACAGGCUGUUGGUUUGUGAAUAUGUCGAGAACGGCUCACUUGCUAGCAUUUUGUUCGGUGAUAAAAGCAUCAUCUUGCUGGACUGGAAGCAACGGUUCAAUAUUGCAUUAGGUGUUGCGAAAGGGUUGGCCUAUCUUCACCAUGAGUGCCUAGAAUGGGUCAUCCAUUGCGAUGUGAAACCCGAGAAUAUACUCUUGGACCAAAACUUUGAGCCUAAGAUCACUGACUUUGGGUUGGCAAAGUUACUAAACCGAGGUGGAUCCAACCAGAACACAUCUCAUGUGCGAGGAACCACAGGCUACAUUGCUCCCGAGUGGAUUUCCGGCCGCCCUAUCACGUCGAAAGUCGACGUGUAUAGCUAUGGAGUUGUGCUUCUUGAGCUUCUAUCUGGAAGCAGAGUAUCGGAGUUGACCGUUGGUUCAGAUGCAGAGGUGGACAUGGUGAUCAGGAAGCUUGUCACAAUGCUUGCAGAUAAGCUGGAAGGAAAUGAUGAAUCUUGGAUUGAAGAAUUUGUGGAUUGCAAAUUGGGCGGGCAAUUCAGCUAUGUGCAGGCUAGAACGUUGAUCAAAUUGGUCGUUUCUUGUUUGGAGGAAGAUACAAGAAAGAGGUCGACUAUGGAAUCUGUUGUUCAGACUCUCCUAUCAUCUGAUGAAGCUGAUAAAUAG
Molecule: ribosomal RNA, 2421 nt
Filed under: Triticum aestivum (bread wheat)
Lineage: Eukaryota; Viridiplantae; Streptophyta; Magnoliopsida; Poales; Poaceae
Description: partial small subunit ribosomal RNA
Source: RNAcentral